UAGAGUUUGAUCCAUGGCUCAGNCCUGAACGNUUGGCGGUAGGCCUAACACAUGCAAGUCGAACGGCAGCACAGGAGAGCUUGCUCUCUGGGUGGCGAGUGGCGGACGGGUGAGGAAUACAUCGGAAUCUACUCUGUCGUGGGGGAUAACGUAGGGAAACUUACGCUAAUACCGCAUACGACCUACGGGUGAAAGCAGGGGAUCUUCGGACCUUGCGCGAUUGAAUGAGCCGAUGUCGGAUUAGCUAGUUGGCGGGGUAAAGGCCCACCAAGGCGACGAUCCGUAGCUGGUCUGAGAGGAUGAUCAGCCACACUGGAACUGAGACACGGUCCAGACUCCUACGGGAGGCAGCAGUGGGGAAUAUUGGACAAUGGGCGCAAGCCUGAUCCAGCCAUACCGCGUGGGUGAAGAAGGCCUUCGGGUUGUAAAGCCCUUUUGUUGGGAAAGAAAUCCAGCCGGCUAAUACCUGGUUGGGAUGACGGUACCCAAAGAAUAAGCACCGGCUAACUUCGUGCCAGCAGCCGCGGUAAUACGAAGGGUGCAAGCGUUAC
RNAcentral lists this ribosomal RNA (551 nucleotides) under uncultured bacterium. Its description in RNAcentral is "bacterial SSU rRNA". It matches the Rfam family "Bacterial small subunit ribosomal RNA", at positions 1 to 544 of the family's 1533-position model. The record is from RNAcentral.